GACGAACGCUGGCGGCGUGCUUAACACAUGCAAGUCGAACGGUGAAGCGCCUUCCUUUUUGGUGGGUGUGGAUGAGUGGCGAACGGGUGAGUAACACGUGAGUAACCUGCCCCCUUCUUCUGGAUAACCGCAUGAAAGUGUUGCUAAUACGGGAUAUUCUGGGUCUGUCGCAUGAUUGGUCUGGGAAAGAUAUUGUUUCGGUGGGGGAUGGGCUCGCGGCCUAUCAGCUUGUUGGUGGGGUGAUGGCCUACCAAGGCGGUGACGGGUAGCCGGCCUGAGAGAGUGGACGGUCAGACAGGGAGUGAGACACGGGCCAGAAUCGGACGGGAGGCAGCGGGGGGGAAGAUUGCACAAUGGGCGCAAGCCGGAGGCAGCGACGGCGAGUGAGGGAGGGAGGCCUUCGGGUUGUGAACCUCUUUCGCCAGUGAAGCAGGCGUGCCUCGUUUGUGGGUGGGUUGACGGUAGCUGGAUAAGAAGCGCCGGCUAACUACGU
RNAcentral lists this ribosomal RNA (493 nucleotides) under uncultured bacterium. RNAcentral describes it as "partial 16S ribosomal RNA". It matches the Rfam family "Bacterial small subunit ribosomal RNA", at positions 28 to 506 of the family's 1533-position model. The record is from RNAcentral.